RNAcentral lists this long non-coding RNA (697 nucleotides) under Rosa chinensis. RNAcentral's name for it is "sRNA RchiOBHm_Chr5g0021151". The record is from RNAcentral. Lineage: Eukaryota; Viridiplantae; Streptophyta; Magnoliopsida; Rosales; Rosaceae.
GUAAAUAAUACUUUAUUAUUUUAAUUCUUUAUUUGUUUACACAAUUGUAUAUAUUUAUAUUCUUUAUUUUAUUUUUGUAAAUAAUACUUUUCUUUAUUUGUUUACACAAUUACAGGUGUACCCUCAAUCCUCGGUUAGAACGAUCCCUACUUAUUCUAUACUAACGAUGACAUUUUACAGGGUUAAAUUACGCGUUCAUUUUGUGCGUGUCAUUUUUUGGCGCCGUUGCCAGGGAUUGACACUCAUUUUAAGCGUGUCAAUUUUUGGCGCCGUUGCCGGGGAUUGACACUCAUUUUGAGCGUGUCAAUUUUUGGCGCCGUUGCCGGAGAUUGACACUCAUUUCGAGCUUGUCAAUUUUUGGCGCCGUUGCCGGGAAGAUGCUCAUUUUGUGCGUGUCAGCAAACAGACGACGCCGUUAGAGAUUUUUGACCGAAGUAUCACUUCGAUGUCAAAAUACGUCUUUAGGUAUCACAUUGAUACUUUUGAGAGUUCGGGUAUCAAAUUGGCCUUGGCAGCAUAGUUUGGGGAUGGUAGCUGAAAUUUUCUUUUUUUGAGGAAUUAACAAAAAAAAGGUAAAAAGUCGAUUUUGCCCUUUUUUUUAGACCCACGUGCUUGCCACAUCAACAAACAAAUGGCGCCGUCAGAAAUUUUGGACGGAAGUAUCACGUUGAUGCCAAUUUAGGUCUUUAGGUAUCAC